This is an RNA transcript of Belonocnema kinseyi, 2520 nucleotides long. It is a transcript of the gene named unconventional prefoldin RPB5 interactor-like protein, with no coding region annotated. The transcript has 9 exons. The record is from RefSeq and is a predicted model, not a curated record. NCBI's taxonomy places the organism in Eukaryota, Metazoa, Arthropoda, Insecta, Hymenoptera, Cynipidae.
GUAAAUCUUAGAAAACCUGUCAACACAGAAUGUUUUAUCCAGAGUUUAAUCUCCAUAAAGAAAUGCUUCACCAGCAAGCACUUUCAGAGUGAAUGUCAGUUGUACUGCACCGAUUGUGAGGCUUGCAAAAAGUAUUCUUGUGACUGCAUAGAUAGUGCAAUUCGCUGAAACAUGUGCAAACACAUUCAUAUAUUGGUCACAUGCAGGAAAGGGACAGAAGAAAAAAGUUCUGAAAAACAGCAAUGUAAUGCAGAUGACCAGCAUUUUUAUUAUGAUUUUUUUGUUUUUAUUUUUAUUAUUUACUGUACGAACACGCGAAGGAAGGAAGCCGAUGUCAGAAAAGAAUUAAUGGAUAGAAAAAUUUUACAGAAGAAUGAAGAACGAACACAAAUUUGGACUCUCUUCCAAAAUAAGCAUAAACUAGUGUUGGAAGGGCUUCAAAGAAUUCCAUUGGAUUUUACUAUAAAUUGUCUGGUACCUAUUGGUAAACAUGCAUUAAUGGAAGGCAAAUUGAAACACACUAGUGAAAUUUUAGUUUGCCUUGGUGAAGGGUACUUCAUAAACUAUACUGCUGGACAAGCGAUUGAACUAUGUAACCGCAGAAUGAAACAUGUCGAAACAAUACUGACUUAUUUAAAAGAAGAAAGAAGUUUGUUUGAAUCGCGUCAAAACCUUCCUGUAAGUUGUGGAGCAUUUAGAGACAAUAUAAACGAGGAAAUAAUUGAACACUGGAAUGAAAAAGAUUUGAACAAUUGGAGAGCUCAACAUAGACAAAGGGAAAAGGAACAUCAUGAAAAAAUUGCUCAACAAAGACAACAUAAAUCCUACUCUGAAACAGAAGAAGAUUUAUUUCUGAGACUAGAUGAAUUAGAACUUGAAGAGGAGUUGGCUGAUGAAUACUACAGAUUGCAAGAAGAAGAUGUAGAAGAUGAUGGUUGUAAAGAGGGAGAAGAAGAAGGAGAAAUAGAACAAGUUUUUCGAGAAUCAAAAAAAUAUGAAGAACUAAAGAGAAAUACAACACUUGAGGAAAUACCAUUCAACGUUUUAGAAACAGACAUAAUUAAACCUUUAUAUGUGGAAACUAAGAAGGUUAGAAAGUAUUUAGCUUCAGGAAUAAGUUUACCACCUUCAGAAGAAACUGAAGAGAAUCAUGAUAUAAUCGCGAGCAACGAAACCCUCAAAGAGGAAAAUGAUUUCAGUAAAUCACAUGCAGAAAAUAAGAAUCAAUUAGGUAAAGAUAGAAGAGUGUCCUUUGCGGAUGUUUACGAUCUUGAUUCUUUUGAAAUCGAUGAAAGAGCUAAUCAGACUAAUGAAAAAAAAAAUUCAUACUGUGAACUUAAUUACAAAAAAAUCAAUUUCAGUCACUCAAAAGUUCUUCCACAAUUGAUUGACGAUGCUAAUAGGUUUAUAAAUAAUCCAGCAGAUAUUUAUAACAUUUUUUACAAACCUAAAUCUAUUUUGAAAUACACAAGGAACACUUUGUCUCAGAGCGACGAUACUUCCUUGCCCAAAACAUACGCAUUGGACAAAGAUUUCGAAAGUGAACCUAUUUGGAAAUCUGUAUAUGAGGAUGUGAUGAUAAAGUGUUUGGAACUGAAUUAACCAAACAAAUCUACAACUUGUUUGCCAGUAUGCCUGAUCCCAAAGGAAUCAAGCUGAUAGCAAAAACAGUUACACCUCAACAGUCUCCCAACACCUCGCAGUCUGAAAACAUACAACAGCAGUUCGUCACUAUUGAUGAAUUCAGGCAGUUCGUUAAAGAAAACGCAGUAAAUCAAUACAAAUUACUGAAUGAAGUCAAAAAUGUUGGCAACGUCGUCAAGCAGAGCAAUGAAAGCAGUAGUGACAAAAUUGCAAAUACUUUAGCAAAUAGUAUUUGCAAAUUAGUCGACCAACUGAAAAUCAAUAGCACACAACAGCAGCAGUCUUCGACCUCGACUGAUCACCAGCCUGAUCAACUCCUGCGUGAAAGCAUUGUGGAACAGUGGGAAAGAAACCAAACAAGUGGUGCUGUUUUUGAUUGGGAUCAGCCAACUAUUCCAGUAGAUCGAUGUACUUUCGCAGACAGAGAAAGAUUUGAACGUCGGUAACAGUUGCAGAAGCAGCAACAGAGCAACAUCUCUCCUUAGCGGCAGGGAUUCGGCAGAUCACUCCAAGGAAACUUCACAAGCAGAGACACGCAGGACGACUCGCAACGUCAACUCACCCCACCACGUGGACCGUCCAGGGACUGGCCCACUGGUCAUUGGGCCUGCGACUGGAAAAGCACCGACAAGGCUUACUAUCAUUGCAAGUGUUCGAUCACCUUGCCGCUGGUUGCAAAUCUGAGACCGCAAGGUGAGAACGCAGCAAAAGGAGAGCCGAGGAGGUUUGCAAUCCUUCUGGUAAAAAGACCAAAGCAGCAGACGGUAAGGGUUUCAGACUCAGGCCUCCGCCGGGCUCUAGAAGUGCAGAAACCUAUCGUUCUCAAGGGCCACAUGCGUUACAAACGGCGGAUAAUAUAACAAUCUCCAAGGAAUG